Molecule: long non-coding RNA, 4976 nt
Filed under: Bos grunniens (domestic yak)
Lineage: Eukaryota; Metazoa; Chordata; Mammalia; Artiodactyla; Bovidae
Description: lncRNA (ENSBGRG00000009861.1)
Source: RNAcentral
AUGAGAACAGUGUGCCACGUCUGCCAGAAUUUUCCCAGCAAGAUUCCUCCAAAUUUCCCAUUUCAUCCCAGAUUACACACAUCUCAGCCCUGGCAGGGAGGUCCUCAUUUAGAGCCAGUUUUGGAAGUAGUGGAAAUGUUUGACAUAGAUUCAAGUUUCAGUAGUCAUUACCUACCCUGCAUCCAGUGGCAAAAUAAAGAAGGUAUGGUCUUGUUGAAGAGGUGAAGCCGUGGAACCAGGAGCCUGGAUUUGAAUUUGACAAGACUUGCGAUAAUGACUUAACCAUGCUAAAGUGAAUAGAAUAAGGCAUAUUUGCCAUUGUAAGAAGAUAAACAAUUAAUUGACUUUUUUUCCCUAAAAUAUUUAAGAACUCUUGAGCACUGGUGAAAGAUAGCUAUGCUUUCUCAGUUACAAUAUAGAAGUCAGAAAGCGAGUAUUCAGUAAACUAUGAAGUAGGUAGCAUUUUUUGGAAACUCAGACCUUCCCACUCUUCAUCCUUCCUGAGAUGUCUCUCCUUCUCUCUCCUCCUAUGGGCCUGGAUCUCUGCAUCAUACACCUUCUCUCUAACUGUAAAAUGAGAGCUCUUUUUUCCUAUUAAAUAAAUUUCAUGCUCUGAGAAGUGAGGAGGGAACAUAUUUCCAUAAGUUCUGUGAUUGGACCAUAAUUUCCAGGGCCCUGAUAUAAAUCUAGAUUGGUGGCUCUUGUAUUUUUCAUAUUUGACAAAGAAUUAGGACACCCCCUCCUCACACCAGUAAUAUGACCAGUUCUUUAAUCUUCACACAUAAUUGGUUCUGACUUUAGCCACUGACCAAUGAUACAUUUCAUUUUCAGGGAUGCUUAGAAUUUCUCUCUUACACUUCAACUAUCUUAGAAUUGUUCUAACAUUUUCAUUUUACUAAUGGAUAAAUGGAGGCCUGGAGAGAUUACAUGAAAUGCUUUGUCUCCAAAGUGAAGAAAUGACAAAGCUUUCUGUAAUAAUACCUGAAAUAUCAUUACAUGAUACAUUCCUUGGAGCAUGCUGCUUUUUUAUUAUCUGUUUUUGUUUUUAAUAAAAGCCUGUUAUUAAAUUUGCUUUUCUCUAGGAUAAGGAGUGUGCUAAAUUGGAAAUAUUAAUACUUCAUUCAGGUUUGUUGAGAAUCAGUUGUUAUUGAGGUCACACCAGGGUCCACCAAGAUGCCCGAGGCACAAGAGGUACCAGAAAGCGGGGAAGGAGUGCAGAGCACAGACUGGAGUUGUGAACUAGCCCUGGGUUUGGCAAGAUGGGAUUUGUUAGUGAUUCUGAUUAUAGUAGCUUCUGUGUGAUGGUGGAAGGAAAACCUGUCCAAAGUGGGUUAAAAAGAGCAUAGGAUAUGAGGGAGUGAAAGGAUACUAAUAUUUCAUAGAAUUUUCCCCUAAGAUGAGUAGAGAAAUGUAAUAGCUAGAGAGAGACAUGCGGCCAAUGAAGGGAUCUUUCAAAAUAUAGAUUAAAGCAUAGUCUAUUUGUGUGCUCUUGGGAAUGAGCCCAUAUUUAGGAGAAAAUUGAUUCUGAAGAGAAAGAAAUGUGGGUCACAAGGGCAAACUCUUGGGUCUGUGAUCCAGUACACACAUAGAGGAUUUGGCUUUAUACAGGUGUGAAAACAGAGUUUAUGAGAGAAGAGGCAGGUGGCUUGAGGAGCUAGGUGGUAGAAAGACACAGUGGUUCUCUUUUGUUUUCUUUGGUUUUCUCACUGAAAUAAAAUGUCAAAAGCUGAGAGAGAGGAAAAGGAGAGAGUGCUGAAGAUUUCAGAAGAGAUGAGAACAUGUGAACAUGCAUCUCAGAGGUUGAAAGAGUGGGUUAGUUACAGACAUAGAGUGAAAUUGCUGGGUGGUACUAGAAGCCCACUUUAGUGUAUUGGUCAUACAUUUACUGAGAGACAAGUUAGACUGUUAGCGAGUUUUUCUCCAGCCCCUUUCUGCUGCUUGAAUAUUGUUGCAAACUAGGGGGAGGAUUGAGUUAAACUAAACUUGAGGUUUUGCCAAACUAUGGUAAAAGAGGAGAGAGAAGACAGGGAUUUGGGGAAGAUAUAAAAGGAGUGGUUGUAGAGACUGAUCAUUGAAUUGGAGAAAAAUAAGGAAGGAACUGGGGAAAUGAGAUAGGUAACGGACAAUGAAAAGUGGUGGGUCCCGUGGGCUAGAGGUCCUGAUGUAGGUCAAUGAUUUGUGUAGGAGAAGAAGGGAGGGUAAAAAUUUACAUAGUUGCAAAAAUAAGAGUAGAUGUUUGAAAAAAUAUUUCACAAGCAAUGCAGUUAUUAGUAACAACAACAAACUAUGGCCAUGGUAUUGGGUGGCCAUAGAGAUGAAGGAUAAAACUGGAGGUGAGAUAGUAAAGGGUGGAGAAGCUCAGGAGUUGAAUAGUGACAUUGACAUUUAUAUGGAAAAGAUCAAGACUAUAAGAUGUAGUCAUAGAGUGGAGGAGGUGAAGAGGCUGUGAGAGAGUAGUAUAGAAAGGGUGCAGAGUAAGACAUACAUUGAGGUUAGGUCUUCAUUGACUAAGGAAGCUAAGGUGGGAUGCUUGUGACUGAAACAAAGCAGAAAGAUGGCUGGUAGAGCUUGAUGGCCCAUGCUUUAAAAAUUGUGGGUUUUUAAAGAAAGAAGGAGGAAAUAAUUGACUAUAAAUGAUUGGGAGGAACAUGGAGAGUGCCCAGUCUCACCUUCAGGCUCUGUGCAAUGUGGAAGGAAAAACACCUUUCAUCUGAGAGCCCUACAGGGGACAGGAGUUCCACAGGAAGGAACCUGGUUUCACAAGGAGCACACACAUCAUUAUGUGAUGGAGAAGCUAAAAAGAAGUUGGAAGAAUCAGGGAGUUUUCUGGGAUAAACCAUAAGUUCUAGAGAACUGAGAGGAAAAGCUCAAAUGGAUGGUGGUGAUGGUUAAUAAUGGCUGUGAAAUCAUAUUAGAGGAGGUCCAUAGCUUAUCUGAGUAAUGAUUGUUGAUCCAGAGUAAUACUUCUCAAACUUCAAGGCACCUACAAGUCUCCUUGGGAUAUUGUGAAAAUUCAGACUGAGUAGGUCUUAGGGAGAAGAGGAGACAGGGGUUUAGAUUCUGCUUUUCAGAUGUGAGGCAAGCUGAUGCUGAGGCUGCUGGCUUGAGGACUGCACUUUGAGGAGUGAGGCUCUGAGGCUUGGACUAGUCUGGGAGCAUCAGGUUGGGAGGGGAUGUCAGAGGUGCAUUUGAUCAAGGAUGUUUGGAGCUCUGAACAUCCUCACAGAACUAUUUGAUAGUUCCCACCAUUUUUGGAAGGUCAGUUUUUAACCUUCAGUCCUGCUUGUUCCUUCUCUGAGCCCAAAGCACUUGUGUUUAAUAUACGUUUGCUCCACUCAGUGUAUUUUCUUUGUUUCAUAGGUGUAUGUGUAUUAUUCCAACAGGAUGAUUCCUUAGAGCCAGAGACUGUGGGGAAUAGUAGAACAUUUGUGGAUCAUUGAGUCAUAACACCUGACAAUUCCCAUCCAUACCAUUUACUAGCUCUAAAAAAAGCAGUGGAAAAAAUCAUUUACCCUUCUGAUCAUUUUUAUAUGUGAAGUGGGGAUAAUCAUGCCUAACUGCCUUUUAUGAAAUUCAAAUGAGAUGCUUGAUAUAAAAAAGUCUUGUGACCUGUAAAACAAUAUAAUAAUAUGAUAAUGCUUCCUGCAAGGCUUGUGUUUCUCUGGUACGUAUCAGCAUGGCAUUCUGGUAGUCACUGGUCUGAUAAAUCAGUGCACAUUGCUGUACCAGUGUUUAAAUAUUUUUAAUAGAACUUCGGGAGUUCUAUUAUUCUGAAUAUUAUGUUUCAUAAUUCUUGUUAUUUAUUGUGUCUUUUUACAGUGCUAGCAGAAAAAUGGGCAUGAAAUAGUUGUUGUUGAUUAAAGGAGGGUAGAUAUAUGAACAUCUACCCCAGGGACACUGAGUGCAAACGAAGGUAAUUUCAAAAGUCUGUGAAAGUUGUUUCUAAGGACAGUUAAGUCACUUUUACCAGGAAGAAUUAAGAUGUCAUUUUUUGUUCCCUAAAUUUUAAAGUGCCCUCAUCACAGUUUCUUAUGUCAUCUUCCUCUUGAGAUUAUACCUUUCAUCAACACUGCUGCUGACUGAUGAUUGAUUCAUGCAGGUGUCCUCAGCUAGGGAACAAGGCUAAGCACAGCCAAGCUAUGAUUAACCUUACCCGUUUAGUUCUGGAACAGAACUCUCUGUUCCAAAAUGGAUUAUGGGCACUCAGGUCCAAAGUUCUUUAAAGACCUACUAGAUAUUUUAGGAAAAGACUUCCUAGGUAUAUGGGAAAAUAUUUUUACAAACAGUUUAUUCUCUCAUGAUAGAAGUAUAUUGUUUUUUUCUCUUUUUUUCCCCCUUGGAGAGCUUGCUUAAGCAAGGAUUGGUUUUCCUAUGUCUCUGGAGAUGAGAUAAAAAGCAAGGAUUUUGGAGUUCAAGUUCUGGUUCCACCUCUUAUUAGUAGUGAGAUCGUGAACAUUACCUAAUCUCUGCAAGCCUGGGGAUUCUCACCUGCAGGACUGGAAUAGUUGUAUUAUCUUCCUUAAAGGAUUGUUGGAAAUGUUGAGACAAUGUGUUUGAAUUAAGUAACACAGCAUUAGUCCUAAAUAAAUGUUAGUUCUUGGUUACUGUUAGUUCUUGUACUAUUACUACAACUACUAUUAAGAAAAAAAAAAAAAAAACCCUGGAUAUAGGGCUUGAUCCCAGUAUUUAUUAAAAAGUGUAUAAAUUCAGUGGUUAAAAACAAAACAAAACAAAACCACCCAAUUAAGAUGGGCAAAAGAUUUAAAAAGACUUUAUAAGGUGUACAGAUGGAAAAGAGGCAUACGAAAAAGAUGCUUGACAUUAUUAUUCAUUAAGGAAAUGCAAAUCAAAACCAUAAUGAAGUAUCAGUUUCAGUUUAGUUCAGUCAUUCAGUCAUGUCCAACUCUUUGAGACACCAUGGACUGUAGCACACCAGGCCUCCCUAUCCAUCACCAACUCCUGGAGUUUACUCAAAC